This is a non-coding RNA of Podarcis lilfordi (Lilford's wall lizard), 77 nucleotides long. The record is from the annotation of a GenBank genome assembly. Lineage: Eukaryota; Metazoa; Chordata; Lepidosauria; Squamata; Lacertidae.
ACGGUGCAUAGCUCAGCGGUAUAGCAUCUGCUUCCCACACAGAAGGCCCCAGGUUCAGAGUCAGGGAGCUGCCUGGA